GAUGAACGCUGGCGGCGUGCCUAAUACAUGCAAGUCGAGCGAACAGACGAGGAGCUUGCUCCUCUGACGUUAGCGGCGGACGGGUGAGUAACACGUGGAUAACCUACCUAUAAGACUGGGAUAACUUCGGGAAACCGGAGCUUAUACCGGAUAAUAUAUUGAACCGCAUGGUUCAAUAGUGAAAUACGGUUUUGCUGUCACUUAUAGAUGGAUCCGCGCCGCAUUAGCUAGUUGGUAAGGUAACGGCUUACCAAGGCAACGAUGCGUAGCCGACCUGAGAGGGUGAUCGGCCACACUGGAACUGAGACACGGUCCAGACUCCUACGGGAGGCAGCAGUAGGGAAUCUUCCGCAAUGGGCGAAAGCCUGACGGAGCAACGCCGCGUGAGUGAUGAAGGUCUUCGGAUCGUAAAACUCUGUUAUUAGGGAAGAACAAAUGUGUAAGUAACUAUGCACGUCUUGACGGUACCUAAUCAGAAAGCCACGGCUAACUACGUG
Molecule: ribosomal RNA, 497 nt
Filed under: uncultured bacterium
Lineage: Bacteria
Description: partial 16S ribosomal RNA
Rfam family: Bacterial small subunit ribosomal RNA
Source: RNAcentral